Molecule: non-coding RNA, 116 nt
Organism: Cordylochernes scorpioides
Lineage: Eukaryota; Metazoa; Arthropoda; Arachnida; Pseudoscorpiones; Chernetidae
Source: the annotation of a GenBank genome assembly
ACGGCCAUACCACAUUGAAAACACCGGUUCUUGUCAGAUCAGCGAAUUUAAGCAACGUCGGACCCGGUCAGUACUUGGGAGGGUGACCACCUGGGAACAACGGGUGCUGUUUGACC